Molecule: ribosomal RNA, 520 nt
Filed under: uncultured bacterium
Lineage: Bacteria
Description: partial 16S ribosomal RNA
Rfam family: Bacterial small subunit ribosomal RNA
Source: RNAcentral
GACGAACGCUGGCGGCGUGCCUAAUACAUGCAAGUCGAACGCACUCUCGAUUAGAUUGAAGGAGUUUGCUCCUGAUCGAUCAACAUUUGAGUGAGUGGCGGACGGGUGAGUAACACGUGGGUAACCUGCCCUAGAGUGGGGGAUAACAGUUGGAAACAGAUGCUAAUACCGCAUAAAACCUAACACCGCAUGGUGUAGGGUUGAAAGAUGGUUUCGGCUAUCACUAUAGGAUGGAUCCGCGGUGCAUUAGUUAGUUGGUGAGGUAAAGGCUCACCAAGACCGUGAUGCAUAGCCGACCUGAGAGGGUGAUCGGCCACACUGGAACUGAGACACGGCCCAGACUCCUACGGGAGGCAGCAGUAGGGAAUCUUCCACAAUGGGCGAAAGUCUGAUGGAGCAACGCCGCGUGAGUGAAGAAGGUCUUCGGAUCGUAAAACUCUGUUGUUGGGGAAGAAUGUAUCUGAUAGUAACUGAUCAGGUAGUGACGGUAUCCAACCAGAAAGCCACGGCUAACUACGUG